RNAcentral lists this ribosomal RNA (899 nucleotides) under uncultured organism. RNAcentral describes it as "bacterial SSU rRNA". It matches the Rfam family "Bacterial small subunit ribosomal RNA", at positions 24 to 966 of the family's 1533-position model. The record is from RNAcentral.
UCAGGAUGAACGCUGGCGGUCUGCUUAACACAUGCAAGUCGAACGCAACCUUCGGGUUGAGUGGCGGACGGGUGAGUAACGCGUGAGAAUCUGCCUUGGGGUCGGGGACAACCACUGGAAACGGUGGCUAAUACCGGAUAAGCCUUUGGGUAAAAGAUUUAUUGCCCCAAGAGGAGCUCGCGUCUGAUUAGCUAGUUGGUGAGGUAAGAGCUCACCAAGGCAGCGAUCAGUAGCUGGUCUGAGAGGACGAUCAGCCACACUGGGACUGAGACACGGCCCAGACUCCUACGGGAGGCAGCAGUGGGGAAUUUUCCGCAAUGGGCGAAAGCCUGACGGAGCAAGACCGCGUGAGGGAGGAAGGCUCUUGGGUUGUAAACCUCUUUUCUCAGGGAAGAAGCUCUGACGGUACCUGAGGAAUCAGCCUCGGCUAACUCCGUGCCAGCAGCCGCGGUAAUACGGAGGAGGCAAGCGUUAUCCGGAAUUAUUGGGCGUAAAGCGUCCGCAGGUGGCGAUUCAAGUCUGCUGUCAAAGCACGGGGCUUAACUCCGUUAAGGCAGUGGAAACUGAAUAGCUAGAGUGCCGUAGGGGUAGAGGGAAUUCCCGGUGUAGCGGUGAAAUGCGUAGAGAUCGGGAAGAACAUCGGUGGCGAAAGCGCUCUACUGGACGGCAACUGACACUCAGGGACGAAAGCUAGGGGAGCGAAUGGGAUUAGAUACCCCAGUAGUCCUAGCUGUAAACGAUGGAUACUAGGUGUAGCUUGUAUCGACCCGAGCUGUGCCCGAAGCUAACGCGUUAAGUAUCCCGCCUGGGGAGUACGCACGCAAGUGUGAAACUCAAAGGAAUUGACGGAGGCCCGCACAAGCGGUGGAGUAUGUGGUUCACUUCGAUGCAACGCGAAG